RNAcentral lists this ribosomal RNA (460 nucleotides) under uncultured bacterium. RNAcentral's name for it is "partial 16S ribosomal RNA". It matches the Rfam family "Bacterial small subunit ribosomal RNA", at positions 338 to 795 of the family's 1533-position model. The record is from RNAcentral.
CCUACGGGAGGCAGCAGUGAGGAAUAUUGGUCAAUGGACUUACGCCUGAACCAGCCAAGUCGCGUGAGGGAAGACUGCCCUAUGGGUUGUAAACUUCUUUUAUAAAGGAAUAAAGUGAGGCACGUGUGCCUUUUUGUAUGUACUUUAUGAAUAAGGAUCGGCUAACUCCGUUCCAGCAGCCGCGGUAAUACGGAGGAUCCGAGCGUUAUCCGGAUUUAUUGGGUUUAAAGGGAGCGUAGAUGGGUUGUUAAGUCAGUUGUGAAAGUUUGCGGCUCAACCGUAAAAUUGCAAUUGAUACUGGCAGCCUUGAGUACAGUUGAGGUAGGCGGAAUUCGUGGUGUAGCGGUGAAAUGCUUAGAUAUCACGAAGAACUCCGAUUGCGAAGGCAGCUCACUAAACUGCCACUGACAUUGAUGCUCGAAAGUGUGGGUAUCAAACAGGAUUAGAUACCCGGGUAGUC